UAUCAUUCAGAGGAAGAUCAUAUCAGGCUAAGCUAAGCUAAUGUAAUAAAACCUGAGCUGGUACAGUGAGUAAAGGUAAAGAAUGUCAGUGACUCCAUCACAGCCUGUUGGACCUGCAGGCAGCGCUCAGGGAAUACACGUGCCUGCUCCUCUGCACUGCUCCAUGUCUGCAUAUGAGCUGUUUGAUGCUGUUUAUCUUUUGUGAUUACCAUCAUCAAUAUCUCUGACCGAUGCCAGAGAGGCAGCGGAGCUCCUCACUGAGGCUUGGUUUGCAUGUUCUCACCUGGACAAACGGAGCAGACUUUUCCAGGCAGUCACUAAAAUGCGCUCUGACUCUUCGUUUAUUUAGAGGAAAACUCGCUCGGAGCUGCAAGAAUUCCCACAGAGAGAGAGCGAGAGAGAGAGAGAGAGAGAGCGAGAGAGAGAGAGAGAGAGAGAGAGAGCCGACCUUCUCCUCUGAGACUAAACAGGAACGCACAUCAGGCUUCAAUAACAGCACUUCUCCACCUGUGUGAUGUCACUUCCUCUUUCAGAGAGCCAUGCUUCCUGUCUGUGGAUGCUACUUCCUGUGAGGUGAGCAGAUGAAGCAGUGAGUCCUACAGAACUCAUGUUGAUGAAGGAGAAAUGAACUAAUGAACAUAUUUCCUGUUUACAGAUGUUACAGGUAAAGGGGCGUGGCUUAGCUCAGAGGCUUCAGGUUGGUUCUGUUUUAAAGUGAGCGUCACACAUUAGUAACUUUACCUGUUGUGUAUGAAUGUUGUUUAUAGAUAACUUAAGCUUUUGUGUCUUUGGAGCACUUUGAAUCUCUGAAUCAGCCAAAGUUUGGUGUUAAAGCAGUGGUUCUCAACCUUUUUUGGGUCGUUACCCCAUUUUUACAUCACAAAUUUGUGUGUUACAAUAUUCUAGUAGUAUUACAAAUACAGAG
RNAcentral lists this long non-coding RNA (925 nucleotides) under Gouania willdenowi (blunt-snouted clingfish). Its description in RNAcentral is "lncRNA (ENSGWIG00000023250.1)". The record is from RNAcentral. Lineage: Eukaryota; Metazoa; Chordata; Actinopteri; Blenniiformes; Gobiesocidae.